UUAACCAGAGCGUCAAAGGUGGAAAUAAUGUUGUUGUGUUUCAGGCUAAAGAGGCCAUCUUGGAAAUGGAUUCCAUAUGUAAGUUGAUGUUAAAUGUUCCAAAGUGUACAAAUGUUUGCUCGAAUAAUGAAGUAGUAUUGGCAUGGUGAUAGUUGUUAGUCCGUCGUCAUGGUGAUAGUUGUUAGUCCGUCGUCAUGGUGAUAGUUGUUAGUAUGUCGUCAUGGUGAUAGUUGUUAGUAUGUCGUCAUGGUGAUAGUUGUUAGUAUGUCGUCAUGGUGAUAGUUGUUAGUCCGUCGUCAUGGUGAUAGUUGUUUGUAUGUCGUCAUGGUGAUAGUUGUUAGUCCGUCGUCAUGGUGAUAGUUGUUAGUAUGUCGUCAUGGUGAUAGUUGUUAGUCCGUCGUCAUGGUGAUAGUUGUUAGUAUGUCGUCAUGGUGAUAGUUGUUAGUCCGUCGUCAUGGUGAUAGUUGUUAGUCCGUCGUCAUGGUGAUAGUUGUUAGUAUGUCGUCAUGGUGAUAGUUGUUAGUAUGUCGUUAUGGUGAUAGUUGUUAGUCCGUCGUCAUGGUGAUAGUUGUUAGUAUGUCGUCAUGGUGAUAGUUGUUAGUCCGUCGUCAUGGGGAUAGGUGUUAGUCCGUCGUCAUGGUGUUCGUCUGACAUGUGUAUCACUGAACGUUGUGGUCCUCGCCUGUAGAUCCUCCCAGGUAUCGGUACAGUCCUGAGCGACUGAAGAAAGCUUUGUCCUGUCAGUCUGACGAGUUUCAACCAGACAGUCGCCAGGGACAACGACAGUCCGAGCCAAUCAGAGAAACACUGAAAAACAGCGAAGUCAUCGUCAAGGUAAGAAACAAGAAUCGCCUCCUCUUUCUCUUCCUUCUCUUCCUCUACAUCAGAUUAGUUAUCACAAAAGCAGUACACAGUAUUGGGGGGGCUGUGUGUGUGUUGG
Long non-coding RNA from Gasterosteus aculeatus aculeatus (three-spined stickleback), 940 nucleotides. NCBI's taxonomy places the organism in Eukaryota, Metazoa, Chordata, Actinopteri, Perciformes, Gasterosteidae. The record is from Ensembl.